CGCGAAGAACCUUACCAGGUCUUGACAUACUCGUGCUAUUCCUAGAGAUAGGAAGUUCCUUCGGGACACGGGAUACAGGUGGUGCAUGGUUGUCGUCAGCUCGUGUCGUGAGAUGUUGGGUUAAGUCCCGCAACGAGCGCAACCCCUAUUGUUAGUUGCCAUCAUUAAGUUGGGCACUCUAACGAGACUGCCGGUGAUAAACCGGAGGAAGGUGGGGAUGACGUCAAAUCAUCAUGCCCCUUAUGACCUGGGCUACACACGUGCUACAAUGGAUGGUACAACGAGUCGCGAGACAGUGAUGUUUAGCUAAUCUCUUAAAACCAUUCUCAGUUCGGAUUGUAGGCUGCAACUCGCCUACAUGAAGUCGGAAUCGCUAGUAAUCGCGGAUCAGCACGCCGCGGUGAAUACGUUCCCGGGCCUUGUACACACCGCCUGUCACACCACGGGAGUUGGGAGUACCCGAAGUAGGUUGCCUAACCGCAAGGAGGGCGCU
RNAcentral lists this ribosomal RNA (493 nucleotides) under uncultured bacterium. Its description in RNAcentral is "bacterial SSU rRNA". It matches the Rfam family "Bacterial small subunit ribosomal RNA", at positions 960 to 1454 of the family's 1533-position model. The record is from RNAcentral.